This 1187-nucleotide long non-coding RNA is filed under the name Marmota monax (woodchuck). The record is from RNAcentral. Lineage: Eukaryota; Metazoa; Chordata; Mammalia; Rodentia; Sciuridae.
GAAAGGCCUGUGGCAGGACAAGUCACAGAAGACAGCCCCCGGAGUUCUGCUUCGUGCUUCAGUGGAAAUGGACACGGGGACUUUGGGCCAACCAGAAGAGCCCUAGGCCCAGAAAAGAAUGAAUGGACCUCCUACAGCCUGACCUCUGAUCCUGCAGCUACUGAGGAUGCAGAGUCCCCAAGAGGAGCUCCCGAGGGACUCAGCACCUGUGACAGCCAGGAAUCACCGGCCGAGACCACUGAUCUCCACCACCACUGGAUAGGACAGUGAGGUCCCCCCAAGGAAUGGCCUCCAUUUCUCUGUUGUGGCACCCACCUGACUUAUCCUCUGCCACCCCACCUCGCUCAGUUAGGGACGCUGAGGUCUGACAGUAUCAUCUGGGGGUUAAGAAGCCAGGGCCGGAGACCAAGUCAGCAGAGGGAGAGCUAAGAAAAAAUCUUUCCAGAGUAAAGGGGGAUGGAGGGAAGCCCAGCUGCAGGCAGGACAGAGCUGGAAGGAGGCGGAAUGGGGGCAUCUCAGGGAGGGGGCGCUGGAAACCGCCUUCCAGCUGAGGAAGCAGGGGAACCAGGCAGAAGGAACUUUUGGCCAGGAGGCUGGACCAAGUGACCUCGCCCAAACUCUGGUCUGCUGCUGUUGCAACCUGGCCAGUCUCCCAGCCCUCCUGGGUCCCUAAGCAGGAGAGCUUUUUAUAGCCACUCCCCGACUUGGGUUUGAAUAAUUAAACAAGAUGGACAGAAAUAGCAGCGGACAGUGAAGGCGGGUUAUUUUGGGGUUUUCUGGAACACAGUGCUCCUGGGUGUCACCCCACCCCUGCAGAGGGCGGGGCCAGCAUCAAGGCUGCCGGGAGAUUCCUGCGGGGGAAACCCACCCCGCACCCCUAAGGUUUCUUGGGUUGACAGAGUUCUCUCUCUGCCAGAGGAGGGUCCUGCCACUUCUUCCUCCCAAGGAAGAGAGGGCUCCAGCUGCCUUCUGAUCCUAGCUGUUCCCUGGCAGGAAGUGCCUUCUGUUGUCUGUCAGGUCUUCUACUUCUGAGAUGGUGAAAGAUAUUUACAAUCAGAUCGAUAAGCAGCUGCAAGACAGGCUGAACCAGGAGGAUGGGGCCACUGCUCCCAUGGCCAAGGAGCUGGAAUCAGGUGAUAGGAGGUCGUAUCCCCUCCCCCACUUAUGCCCACUGGGAAGCCUCAGAG